GCUAAAUUAGCUCAGCCGGUAGAGCAACUGAUUCGUAAUCAGUAGGUCGGGGGUUCGAUUCCCCCAUUUAGCUCCA
This 76-nucleotide transfer RNA is filed under the name Candidatus Cloacimonadota bacterium. Its description in RNAcentral is "tRNA-Thr". It matches the Rfam family "tRNA". Rfam says of the family: Transfer RNA (tRNA) molecules are approximately 80 nucleotides in length. Lineage: Bacteria; Pseudomonadati; Candidatus Cloacimonadota. The record is from RNAcentral.